GAAAUGACGUGGAAAAGGAGUAGUAGCAAAGUUUCAUGUUGUAGAGAGACAGCGGUCGGUGAAAGCUGUCCUUGAUCUUUGUGAACUCGCCUUGGAUGUCGCGGAAGUGAACAUAAAUGGUAGCUUUUGCCGGUGUAGUCGCCGUUAUCGACCUCGAGUGAACGUUUAAUGACACGUUAAUUUGGGUGGUACCGCGGGAAUCAAGCCUCUCGUCCCAUAU
RNAcentral lists this non-coding RNA (220 nucleotides) under Halobacillus sp. RNAcentral's name for it is "T-box sequence". It matches the Rfam family "T-box leader". From Rfam's summary of the family: Uncharged tRNA acts as the effector for transcription antitermination of genes in the T-box leader family. T-boxes are found upstream of many aminoacyl-tRNA synthetase genes and some amino acid biosynthetic genes usually in Gram-positive bacteria. The anticodon of a specific tRNA base pairs to a specifier sequence within the T-box motif, and the NCCA acceptor tail of the tRNA base pairs to a conserved bulge in the T-box antiterminator hairpin. The record is from RNAcentral. Lineage: Bacteria; Bacillati; Bacillota; Bacilli; Caryophanales; Bacillaceae.